This 219-nucleotide long non-coding RNA is filed under the name Bos taurus (domestic cattle). RNAcentral describes it as "long non-coding RNA NONBTAT031015". The record is from RNAcentral. Lineage: Eukaryota; Metazoa; Chordata; Mammalia; Artiodactyla; Bovidae.
CUCGUUUAGAUGCCUCUGGAAAAAAUCAGAUCAACAGAUUCUAGCACAAGACAAAUAAACAAAAAAAAAAAAAAAAAAAGACUAAAUUCCAAGGUGUUCCAUGACUACAGACUAUUCCUAAUCCUCAAAAUGAUCAUAGUAUUAAAUGUGCUUGUUCAAAAGCCUUGGAAAACAAAUAAGGAUGAAUCAGUAGAAAAUCACCAGUAUUACUGAUAAAAA